Molecule: long non-coding RNA, 675 nt
Organism: Strigops habroptila (Kakapo)
Lineage: Eukaryota; Metazoa; Chordata; Aves; Psittaciformes; Psittacidae
Exons: 2
Source: RefSeq, a predicted model, not a curated record
GCCGGCACUCCUAAAGGGGCCGCUGCAGCUCGCUUCGGUUCAGUUCGGUUCGGUACUCCGGUGGCAGAAGGCCGGGGUGAGGGUUUACUUGAGAGUAAGUGGUGCCUCAGCCGCUGUGGUGGUUAAGGCAUCACCCGCGGGAUGGUGGCUGGUUUCACUGGGUACUGCGUUGCUCGAGGGGCGAUAAGAGAGUGAGGACACUUAGUCCGUUCGAAAAUAGGCGGGUAAAUAAUUAAAAUCAUAGUAAAGCUGCGCUAAAGAGGGGUAAAGAGACAAAAUCUUUUCUUGGGAGUUCUGUGAUAUCUUAGAACCUCUUCUCUGUUUGUUAGUGAAAUAUGCUUUUAGCGACUUCUGUAAAUACUAAAUGACCUUUUAUCAGGCUCUCCUAUUGUUGAUAAGACAGAAAUCGGUUUCCACCCUCUUCUAGCUCUAUACUAACACUUAAAAGCUAUCAGUGAAUAAAUGAAGUAAAAAAACCCAACCAAACUUCCAGAGGAAAGGAAGAUGAAGAAAGCUGAGAGGCACAUCGCGGUAUUUCAGCCUGUGCUGUGUGCAAGAUCCCUGUUGUGUGUAGGACUGAGCUACUGCGACAGUCAAGGAACGUUGUCAGCAGGAGCUGUGUUAUCUUAAAGACAUGUUACGAAGCAAGAAUCGGGCGUGUUUUAGCAUUUUCAA